AGGCUUUUCUUUUUUCUUUUGGCUCGACAGCUUCAUUUCUCGUCGGUGCUCCCGUCCCAACCACCCCCCUUGCCUCAGUCAGUCAGGCCGUGGUCGCUCUGGCUGCGCCGCCUCCGCGAGCUCGGCGCCGGCUCCGUCCCUGCUACACCCGUGCGCCGUCCCCCCAUCCCUGCCGUCGUUGUCCCUGCUGUUGUGCUUGACAUGGACAGACCCCUUUUCUUUCCCUUUGCUGUUAUGUUUACCACUGAGUCCUCGAGAGGACAGGGCCGCAGGGGGAGACACGAUUUCGCUCGUCGGCGGCGGAUUCUGUUUCUGACGUCCUCCGGUGAGUCCCUGGCGAUUCUACUGCGGCGAUGAGUGGUGAUUUUGUGCUUCGAUUGCUCCCCCUUUUGGCUGUUGAUUUUUUGCUUGCAGCCUGCACAUGCCCGUGGAUUCGGAGCUGUAGAGGAAGGUAACUGGUUGGAUCUGCUCAUGGGGGAAGGAUCCCACAGGGCAGCAGCUUUUUGUGGAGGUUAAUCAGUGAAGGGCAGAGGGAUUUUGGGGAAGCUUCGGUGCUAGGAGAAAAGGAGAGGUACCAUCGGGUGGUGUGAUAGCCCAAUAAGUUGCUCGUUUCUCUGUCCCUUCCGGUAAGUUGUUUACUUCCGUUUUAUGUGGCUGAUUUUUCUCCCCUUAUUCUUCCGGGUGGUAGAGGUGAGAGGGCUUCGAUCCGUGUCGAUGGUGAGGUCUGCUCGCCCCUUCUGGUGAGUCCUUCAUUUCCUCUGUCCCGGUUAAAUGGUUGUUCUAGUUUGCUUCCUCGAGUGAGACUCUAGCGAUUACUGUGAUUGUGGUGGAUGAGACAGACCCGCUAGUUGUAGUGUUUUAUUCGGAAGAUUUUUUGUGUCAUUCCCCCGGUGGCGUCUUGGUGAUUUUGGCUGAUGGGGUGACUGAUUCGGUGGUUUGUGCUGUUGUUUUUGAUGUAGUAGUAGUUGCGAUUCGGACUCAUGUUUGAGCUGCUUUUUAUUCGGUUCAUGUAUUAUGGAUUGAUGAUGUGACAUUAUGGGUUUAUGAUGUCAUGUGGUUCUUGUCCUGGAUAUGCAAUGGUUACACCCACUGGCCACUGAAAGUAAUUUACCUUUUUGCCCAUUUUGAACUAAUCUAGCAAAUCAAUUUUAUAGGCAUUUUUUGGUUGUAGUGGUACAGCUAGUGCCAAUUUGGUGUGUUUUGGUAAUUACUCGCCUCGUUGGUGGCGGCGGAGUUUUUCUCGGCGGCUAUCCAGUGAGCUUCCCCCUCCUUUCUGCUGCUCUCUAAUGGCAAGUGUGGUUCGCCAACACGUGUUUCCCUGCUGAUUUUUUUGCUUCCUGAGGCAAACACAGGAGAGGGCAAGGCAUUUUUGUAUCUGUGCUUGUUGGUGGCAAGGUUGGUCAUGCGGCCUGGUGAGUUUCUCCGGCCGUAAUGGUUGCUCCCUCACGGUGAAUCCCUUCCCCUAAUGCCACUGAUUUUUGCUCUGUUUAUUUUCGGGUCGAUGUGUCGAGGCGAAGGCAGCAAAGCAGCAGAAUCAUUAUGCCCUGCACAGAGUUUCAAAACCAAAUAAAAUGAAUCAUUAUAGACGCAACCAUUAUUUUGCAGCAAGGGAGGCAGUGUGUAUGUUUUGGGAUCUAACAAGGGUGUGGUUUUGUGUUUAUGUAUGUCUUUAUAUAUACACAUACUCAAGACACCAGAUUAGGACUGGAUGAUGAACUAAAUAGAGUUGCUUUUUUUUUUAGCUUGAACAGAUCAUGUGUACUGGGCUCUAUCUGGUCGGCCAUGGCGAGGUGAACACUGUACAGGGGGAGGCCCAUUUGCAUCUGUCCUCGUCGGCGGCUAGGGGGUUUCGCAGGUCCGUGCGAUACUUCGGAUGAUGCUCCACCUCAAAACAUCAUUGCAUGGUUAAAGGUUGUAUCUGCUUUCUGCAAAAUUAGUUUGUCGCGCCAGUUCCCGGCGAGUUCUUCGUCCGUGCACGGAGUGGUUGUUCAAAGUUUUACUAGCUUUUUAUCCAGUGAUUACAGUUUCAGUUGCACUGCACUUAUUCAGUAAUCCCAAUCUUUCUAAUAGAUGCAAUUGAUAUUUAAAGAUCUAUUUUUGUCUAGACUCCCUAGUCUGAACUUAUGUUUCUUUGGCUUCACAAUAUGGGACACCUAAGUUGCAAUUUAGUUUUCAUAUUUUCAAAUUGCACUUCCUGUAUUUUGAUUCAAUUUGCACCACUUUUAGAAUUUAAUUGCACUCCUUCCAUUGCUGCAAUUCCAUUUUUUUCAAAUUGUAAUUGUUCUAGCUAUUUUUGCUUGUUUUGUCAUUAUGGAUUCUUUUAUCCAAAUUACACUUAAAUUUAGACUCAAUCGCAUUACUUCUACUGUUGCAAUUGCAGCUUUUGAAAUUGCAAUUUCUAAUUUUUGUUCCUUUUUGCUUUCUUGUCUAGAUUUUGAUCCAAUUUGCACUACUUUUAGAAUUUAAUUGCACUCCUUCCAUUGCUGCAAUUCCCUUUUUUCAGAUUGUAAUUGUUGUAGCUAUUUUUGCCUGUUUUGUCAUUAUGGAUUCUUUUAUCCAAAUUGCACUUAAUUUUAGGCUCAAUCGCAUUACUUCUACUAUUGCAAUUGCAGUUUCCAGUUUACGUUGUGCAGCCCGACGGCAACAUCAUACCCCUCGUUGUCAUCCCACAGCAAAGCUCAGCUUCCCUGAGUCCCCGGUUGAGUGCUUCCCUAAAAAAUCAGUGCACAUUUGGGUACAUAUUUUAUCUGGCACCAGAAUAUGCUGAGAGUGGACAAAUAACAGAGAAGGCGGAUGUCUACAGUUUUGGGGUUGUGUUAGUAUUACCUGACCAAAGGGCCAGCAGUUAGUCUAGUGUGUUUCCCUUACUGUAGUUUAUUCAAAGAGCAUGAUUCUGGUCAUGAUGUCUGGUUUCUAUUAAACGAGCAGGUGACUGUUUUUAUUUGUAUUUUCAGGCGACUGUUUUUUACUCA
Molecule: long non-coding RNA, 2972 nt
Organism: Brachypodium distachyon (stiff brome)
Lineage: Eukaryota; Viridiplantae; Streptophyta; Magnoliopsida; Poales; Poaceae
Exons: 5
Source: RefSeq, a predicted model, not a curated record